AACGAACGCUGGCGGCAUGCCUACACAUGCAAGUCGAACGAGAUCUUCGGGUCUAGUGGCGCACGGGUGCGUAACGCGUGGGAAUCUGCCCUUUGGUUCGGAAUAACAGUUGGAAACGACUGCUAAUACCGGAUGAUGACGAAAGUCCAAAGAUUUAUCGCCAGAGGAUGAGCCCGCGUAGGAUUAGCUAGUUGGUGUGGUAAAGGCGCACCAAGGCGACGAUCCUUAGCUGGUCUGAGAGGAUGAUCAGCCACACUGGGACUGAGACACGGCCCAGACUCCUACGGGAGGCAGCAGUGGGGAAUAUUGGACAAUGGGUGAAAGCCUGAUCCGGCAAUGCCGCGUGAGUGAUGAAGGCCUUAGGGUUGUAAAGCUCUUUUACCCGGGAUGAUAAUGACAGUACCGGGAGAAUAAGCUCCGGCUAACUCCGUGCCAGCCGCCGCGGUAA
RNAcentral lists this ribosomal RNA (448 nucleotides) under uncultured bacterium. RNAcentral describes it as "partial 16S ribosomal RNA". It matches the Rfam family "Bacterial small subunit ribosomal RNA", at positions 29 to 523 of the family's 1533-position model. The record is from RNAcentral.